UGGUGGAAGACCUAUGGACUUAAUAUUUAUGGAGAGGUUUAGAUUUAGAUCUUAUCUAAUCAGUCAUUAUAUGAUCAAUCUAAGUGACAUGGGCUAAACCAGAUUGCUAAGCAACCUAAUUCAAAUCGCAAUCUUUCAAAUUGACUAGAUAAGUGGAGAUCGGUGGGGGUCCCCCCGUUGCCUUCCUAAGACACCAAUAGAUUGGCC
This 207-nucleotide long non-coding RNA is filed under the name Elaeis guineensis (African oil palm). Its description in RNAcentral is "long non-coding RNA (EGUI_LNC052761)". The record is from RNAcentral. Lineage: Eukaryota; Viridiplantae; Streptophyta; Magnoliopsida; Arecales; Arecaceae.